Molecule: ribosomal RNA, 480 nt
Filed under: Enterobacter hormaechei
Lineage: Bacteria; Pseudomonadati; Pseudomonadota; Gammaproteobacteria; Enterobacterales; Enterobacteriaceae
Also listed under: 3 other names
Description: partial 23S ribosomal RNA
Rfam family: Bacterial large subunit ribosomal RNA
Source: RNAcentral
GGUUAAGCGACUAAGCGUACACGGUGGAUGCCCUGGCAGUCAGAGGCGAUGAAGGACGUGCUAAUCUGCGAAAAGCGCCGGCGAGGUGAUAUGAACCUUUGACCCGGCGAUGUCCGAAUGGGGAAACCCAGUGCAAUCCGUUGCACUAUCGUUAACUGAAUACAUAGGUUAACGAGGCGAACCGGGGGAACUGAAACAUCUAAGUACCCCGAGGAAAAGAAAUCAACCGAGAUUCCCCCAGUAGCGGCGAGCGAACGGGGAGCAGCCCGGAGUCUGAAUCAGCUUGUGUGUUAGUGGAACGGUCUGGAAAGUCCGACGGUACAGGGUGAUAGUCCCGUACACGAAAGCACACAUGCUGUGAACUCGAAGAGUAGGGCGGGACACGUGGUAUCCUGUCUGAAUAUGGGGGGACCAUCCUCCAAGGCUAAAUACUCCUGACUGACCGAUAGUGAACCAGUACCGUGAGGGAAAGGCGAAAAG